GACGUAGGGAGCGAGCGUUGUCCGGAUUCAUUGGGCGUAAAGGGUCCGUAGGCGGCUCAGCAAGUCGGGUGUGAAAUCUCCAGGCUCAACCUGGAGGGGCCACUCGAUACUGCUGUGGCUUGAGUCCAGUAGGGGAGCAUGGAAUUCCCGGUGUAGCGGUGAAAUGCGCAGAUAUCGGGAGGAACACCAGUGGCGAAGGCGGUGCUCUGGGCUGGAACUGACGCUGAUGGACGAAAGCGUGGGUAGCAAACAGGAUUGAGAA
Molecule: ribosomal RNA, 262 nt
Filed under: uncultured bacterium
Lineage: Bacteria
Description: partial 16S ribosomal RNA
Rfam family: Bacterial small subunit ribosomal RNA
Source: RNAcentral